AGAGUUUGAUCAUGGCUCAGAUUGAACGCUGGCGGCAUGCCUUACACAUGCAAGUCGAACGGUAACGCGGGGGCAACCCUGGCGACGAGUGGCGAACGGGUGAGUAAUACAUCGGAACAUAUCCAGUAGCGGGGGAUAACCUAUCGAAAGAUGGACUAAUACCGCAUACGAUCUACGGAUGAAAGCAGGGGACCGCAAGGCCUUGCACUAUUGGAGUGGCCGAUGUCGGAUUGGCUAGUUGGUGGGGUAAAAGCUUACCAAGGCGACGAUCCGUAGCUGGUCUGAGAGGACGAUCAGCCACACUGGAACUGAGACACGGUCCAGACUCCUACGGGAGGCAGCAGUGGGGAAUUUUGGACAAUGGGCGCAAGCCUGAUCCAGCCAUGCCGCGUGAGUGAAGAAGGCCUUCGGGUUGUAAAGCUCUUUCGGUGAAGACGAAACGGUUCAUGCUAAUAACGUGAACUAAUGACGGUACUCACAGAAGAAGCACCGGCUAACUACGUGCCAGCAGCCGCGGUAAUACGUAGGGUGCAGGCGUUAAUCGGAAUUACUGGGCGUAAAGCGUGCGCAGGCGGUUUGCUAAGACAGGUGUGAAAUCCCCGGGCUUAACCUGGGAAUUGCGCUUGUAACUGGCAGGCUAGAGUGUGGCAGAGGGGGGUGGAAUUCCACAUGUAGCAGUGAAAUGCGUAGAUAUGUGGAGGAACACCGAUGGCGAAGGCAGCCCCCUGGGUUAACACUGACGCUCAUGCACGAAAGCGUGGGGAGCAAACAGGAUUAGAUACCCUGGUAGUCCACGCCCUAAACUAUGUCAACUAGUUGUCGGGGAAGAAAUUCCUUGGUAACGAAGCUAACGCGUGAAGUUGACCGCCUGGGGAGUACGGCCGCAAGGUUAAAACUCAAAGGAAUUGACGGGGACCCGCACAAGCGGUGGAUUAUGUGGAUUAAUUCGAUGCAACGCGAAAAACCUUACCUACCCUUGACAUGCUAGGAAGCCCGCAGAGAUGUGGGUGUGCCCGAAAGGGAACCUAGACACAGGUGCUGCAUGGCUGUCGUCAGCUCGUGUCGUGAGAUGUUGGGUUAAGUCCCGCAACGAGCGCAACCCUUGCCAUUAGUUGCUACAUUCAGUUGGGCACUCUAAUGGGACCGCCGGUGACAAACCGGAGGAAGGUGGGGAUGACGUCAAGUCCUCAUGGCCCUUAUGGGUAGGGCUUCACACGUAAUACAAUGGUCGGUACAGAGGGCUGCCAACCCGCAAGGGGGAGCUAAUCCCAGAAAGCCGAUCGUAGUCCGGAUUGUAGUCUGCAACUCGACUGCAUGAAGCCGGAAUCGCUAGUAAUCGCGGAUCAGCAUGUCGCGGUGAAUACGUUCCGGGUCUUGUACACACCGCCCGUCACACCAUGGGAGUGGGUUCCACCAGAAGUAGUUAGCCUAACCGCAAGGAGGGCGAUUACCACGGUGAGAUUCAUGACUGGGGUGAAGUCGUAACAAGGUA
Molecule: ribosomal RNA, 1492 nt
Filed under: metagenome
Description: bacterial SSU rRNA
Rfam family: Bacterial small subunit ribosomal RNA
Source: RNAcentral